AAGUAACACACCAAAUCUAAAUAUUAGUGAGAAAAAUUGCAGUUAGAUAUUUUGUCUAAAUUGCCCAGCCCUAAUCCUGACUGACGCUACCUUUUAUGUGUUUUCAGGUUACUGUUUUCUACUGUACAGCCAGACAGAUAUGUGAGGUGUGCCUUCCAUUUUAAACCUCCAAUGUUGUGGGAACCAAGGUUGUCACCUGCAAUGGCGCACAAGGUUCCUUUGCAGACUGUUCCAUUAGACCACAAACGGGCUUAUCCUUCUCGCAGAUAGUUCUGCCACAGUGACUGAUGUUGAGAAGACACUCACCCUACCCUCGACUCCUCGUCUAAUACUGCUUGGU
Amphiprion ocellaris (clown anemonefish) is the source of this 340-nucleotide long non-coding RNA. RefSeq lists it as uncharacterized. NCBI's taxonomy places the organism in Eukaryota, Metazoa, Chordata, Actinopteri, Pomacentridae. The record is from RefSeq and is a predicted model, not a curated record. The transcript is spliced from 3 exons.